AGUCAAUAGAUACCCUGGUAGUCCACGCCGUAAACGAUGUCGACUUGGAGGUUGUGCCCUUGAGGCGUGGCUUCCGGAGCUAAACGCGUUAAGUCGACCGCCUGGGGAGUACGGCCGCAAGGUUAAAACUCAAAUGAAUUGACGGGGGCCCGCACAAGCGGUGGAGCAUGUGGUUUAAUUCGAUGCAACGCGAAGAACCUUACCUACUCUUGACAUCCAGAGAACUUAGCAGAGAUGCUUUGGUGCCUUCGGGAACUCUGAGACAGGUGCUGCAUGGCUGUCGUCAGCUCGUGUUGUGAAAUGUUGGGUUAAGUCCCGCAACGAGCGCAACCCUUAUCCUUUGUUGCCAGCGGUUAGGCCGGGAACUCAAACGGAGACUGCCAGCGAUAAACCUGGAGGAAGGU
Molecule: ribosomal RNA, 404 nt
Filed under: uncultured bacterium
Lineage: Bacteria
Description: bacterial SSU rRNA
Rfam family: Bacterial small subunit ribosomal RNA
Source: RNAcentral